AAAAAAAAAAAGAAAGUAAGUUGUCCUUUAACUGAAGAAUUGAGAAAAAACUACCUUUGUAGUCAACUUUCCUAUCCACAAUCAUAUGAAAUUAUGGAGCUAAUGAGGAUGGGGAAAUGAAUGUUGGGUUUAGUAACCACUGUCACAGCCAGAAACAGGCCUAUCCAAGAAUCUGGUGGUUAGAGUAUCUGAGCAGGAUCUAUGGGAGGAAAAGGCUGAGACUUUGUAUUGAAUAUUCUCAAAGUACUUUCUCAAAGGAAGUACUGAGAGGAGCUAUCAACACAGUAGUCCUGUAUAAAUCUCCAGCAUUGGAGUCUGCUGGGUUAGAGGAGAAAGUUGAAGGCAUAAAACUAGUUAGGGGAUGAUUGCAAUCCUUUUAGGUGAGAGGCAAUGAGGACCUAAAGUCACAAGUCAGAUGGGAAGAGAUGGGUGGUUGAGAAAUAACUGUGCUGUGGUGUCUGACUGGGAGUGGGCAGACCCCAUUUCAUCCCCAGGAAGGGGAAAUCUGAGGUGAGAAUCAGGUUUUGCAGGUAGAACAGUGAGUGUUUUGGGCUUACUUUUUACUUUUGAGUAGUAUUUUACUUUUUAUUCACCUGACUACUUCAUAGUAUCAACCAGAUAAGAAAAUACACUAGGUUAUGGCAUUGCAAGCUUUAAAAAUAGUGGUAUAUUUUUCUUACGAAGAAGGUGAAUUUCAUAUGGAGUUGAAACUGGCUGUUUAAUAAACAAAAUAAAGAUUAACUUCUCAUUUCAGUCAAUAAUGUAUCAUAGAAACCUGGUAUUCUCUCAGAAGGCUAAUGUUAUAAAGCAAGACAUAAACAACAGCUUGACAAAUCCUGCCAGUUAAGAAUUUUUUUUAGCAUAGAAAAGGGAAUAUCAAGAUAUUUCAAGUAAUAUGAAAUAGUUUAUGGCCAUAUUUAGUGUCCUUUUAUGUCAGAAAAUGGAAUGGCAGGAAAGUAAACUCUCAGGACUUUGUCAUAUGUGUUACAGAGAGACUUAGUAAUUCACCAUUGACAUGGUGCUUGGAGCGGGAAGGGUGGGGGCAGGAGUUUAGCUCUGGGCUUGCCCUAACCAUACUGACACCCUGUGAGUUAGAGCUGGUGAAAAAUAGAGGCAAGGAAGAGAACAAGACGACCUGUGGUCUAAAUUCCUGUAUUGCAAGUCUCCAAAGCUCUUAAUAUAAAUAUAUUUGGGAUAUAGAUAAGAUGAGUUGGGCAAGGGAUCUUAAUAAGGACAUGAGAAGUCAUUCAAACAUGUGCUUUAUUGCAUACAGUAAAUGUUUGUAUACGGCAAAAAUAACAAGUUGUCUUUUAUUAUUGAAGUUUAUCAAUGAAAAUACUUUUCACAUGUCUAUUUGUUGCUGAUUGGGCUAUAUUUUUAUCACUGUAACACCCCUUCUGUGUUUAGAUCCUAACUUCUGUUGGCAGUGGGAGAGAGAGAAAUGAGGUUGCUUUUCACAUGCUAUGUAAACUCUGAAGCUGAGCACCUUAUGUUGUGGAAUCAUCUGUUUCCUUUCUAUGUUGGUUAAAAGAUAUAGGUGGCAGAAAUUGUGUUAAGAACACAAUAAAAAGCUAACGGCACAACCAUUGCCACCAUCAUCAAGAAGAAGCAAAAUUUUGUGUAAGUAUAUUUUCUAGAGUUUCUGGAUUAAUCUUUGAGGUGAAACCAGUGUAUUAAUAUGUUUUUCAUUUGUAGGUGGCAAAAAAACACAACUAAAAUUGUACUUAUGCAAUGAAAGAGAUUUAUUGACAGACUUAAAUGUCAAAAGUUGUGUGUAUGAUUUUGGGUUGGGGUUGAUGCAUUGCUUAGCCAUUGUAACCAGGGCUGGGUUUGUACAAUCUCCAAUAACCUUCCAUCCUGUUAGUUUCAACUCACAGGAAGCUGUAGGCUCUCAUUUGAUGGUGGCAAAAGGAAGGAAGCACAUCUAGACUUGACUUCUUCACAUCAAGUCCUCCAGAGAAAUUUUCGAGAAGUCUGGACUUGCUCUCAUAAGGGUCAAAUCAGGUCAUGAUACGUCCAAACCAGGGGAAUACUGCCUGUCAUUUUGGCCUGCUCCUACUUUUUUGAGACCAGUAGGCUGAGAGAGAAUACAUGAUUGAGAACAGUGAGGCAGCCUUUUUCUACAGUGAUUGACAGAUGGGUAAAAAAAAAAGGAGCUGUCUUAAGGAAUCUACAGCAAGUGAGACCAACUCUAAAUUGAGACCAGAAGGUAGGAAUGUAUACUAAAUGAAAAACAGGACAAGAUUUUUGCAGAGUUACUUAUCACUUUAACUUAGAACAUGUGCCUAGUCUCCUCUCCUUAUCUUUAGUAUAGAGAUGACUUAAUGUUCUAAUACAAUUUUGAUCAGGCCAAAACUUCAAAGCCUUUCACAAAUGGUAGAAAUAGUACAUACUGAUAUCGAUUUUAUACAAUAACAUGAAAAUAAUUAAGACCCAAAUGAAUAGGAAAGAAAACAAAGACUGUCUUAGUGUGGCCCAACAAUGCCCCCUUGAUUCACUAUUUAUAAGCAGCUUGUUUUAAUCCAUUAAGGAGAGAUAGGGAAAGGAAAAAAUAUAAAGAGGAGAAGGACCUCUGGAAGAUGAUCAAAAAAUGUAUAUUCUGGUGAGCCAGUUUAUUUAUGGAGGGGAAGCCCCUGCCCCUGACUGUCCCUUCUGAGAUUAUCUCUGAAUUUCUAUAGAGAAAGUGGUCAUUAGAUUAACAAUGUUCCCUAAACAUUUGAGACCAUAGUUAAAAUUUUCUAUACCUAACAAAACUUUUUAAAAAGGGAUACUUAGUAGUAUAAGUCUUCGACUUCUUUAAACUAGAAUUCUUCCUGGUGUCACAAAUGCAGGCAAAAGGUUAAAAUGGCAGGGAAUAUAUUAGUCUAAAACUAAACUUUGGGUCUCGGGUAAUAUACUCAAAGAACAUGGUGGAAUGGGGCUUAUAAGCUGUGUAAGUAUGAUAGGAAUAUUGCUUUCCCUGAAUUUUUUGCACGGCUAGAAUGUCAAUGCUGAAGAUUCAUUUUGAUCUAGAAACUGGGUGCACUUUUCCUUAGUGCAACACAGUCCUUAGGACUGUGCUGUGUGAAGUAUUUUCAAGCUGCAGUAUAUUACAUGUACUCUCAGGGCUCUCUUUGGGCAGAAUUGAUUUAAUACAAUAGAAUGCUUGCUCCAGAAAUGUGCUCAUGUAAAUAAAAACAUGAUUAGUUGGCUUAAAUUCAUUGCUCAUCAUGCAGUGGCCUAUUUAUCUCACCUUCCACCAUUCUAACCAUGUGCCAUAAAUCUACUUUUCCUGAAGUUACUCCUUUAUAACAUUUUGAUGAUAUUAAGAAAGUUCUUGACAAUACAGAGAGGUUUCUAAAAUUACCUUUAA
Molecule: long non-coding RNA, 3352 nt
Organism: Talpa occidentalis (Iberian mole)
Lineage: Eukaryota; Metazoa; Chordata; Mammalia; Eulipotyphla; Talpidae
Exons: 3
Source: RefSeq, a predicted model, not a curated record